Vigna radiata var. radiata (mung bean) is the source of this 780-nucleotide long non-coding RNA. RefSeq lists it as uncharacterized. The record is from RefSeq and is a predicted model, not a curated record. NCBI's taxonomy places the organism in Eukaryota, Viridiplantae, Streptophyta, Magnoliopsida, Fabales, Fabaceae. The transcript has 4 exons.
ACAUUUAGUUCAGAGGAUCUCAUUCUCGAUUGUUCUAAUUCUCGAAUCUUCUCACUCUCCAGCCCUAACCUUCUCCUCCUUUCUCUUCUCACUCUCCAGCCUAACAUUCUCCCUGCACUCUCUUCUUCCCCCACACUCGUUCUCUCUGCACUCUCGAGCCCAGUCUGCUUUCCCUCGCACUCGUUUGCAGUCGUUUGGCGGGAAGCGUAACCUCGCACAAUCGUUCUCCUUACGAGAGCUCACAGUCGUGUGACGGGAACCUUUUGUUUCCUUCUGCCGAACCACCAUCCUCCCUCAUUGGAACCGUAUAUUGACACAUUGGAGGCAUCGUUUUCCCUGAGUCGAACCGUAGUUGUCCUCCUACUCGAACCCCGGUUUGAAAUUGCGAUUAAGGAAACCCUAGGUUGGUUUCUUCGAUCUGGAAGAUAUAAGUUCGAGCUGCCAUUGUCUUCUACACGUGCCUCAGGGAAUACCAGAUAACGGGUAUUUAUGGCAGAGAGUUAAUUCCCAGUUAAGCUCCCCUAGCCAGCCAUAUUCUUUGAGAGAGGCUCUAGCUCAAGCACAGUCUUCUAGGAUUGGAGCUUAUGCUCAAGCACUUUGAGAAUCUUUACAUCCACUUUUGAGACAGAAAUUGAUUGAUUACAUCAUGAGUUCUUCAAUCUUGUGAGCCUGUUCAAUAAGACCAGCUUUGCAAAAGCUAUAAAUUAAAAUAGUAUAAGUAUUAACACUGGGAGCAAUGUUUUAUCAAACUUUCCAUCUCUAUAAAGACACCAUGCAAAA